This 253-nucleotide ribosomal RNA is filed under the name uncultured bacterium. Its description in RNAcentral is "partial 16S ribosomal RNA". It matches the Rfam family "Bacterial small subunit ribosomal RNA", at positions 524 to 776 of the family's 1533-position model. The record is from RNAcentral.
UACGGGGGGGGCAAGCGUUGUUCGGAAUUACUGGGCGUAAAGGGCUCGUAGGCGGCCAACUAAGUCAGACGUGAAAUCCCUCGGCUUAACCGAGGAACUGCAUCUGAUACUGGAUGGCUUGAGUUUGGGAGAGGGAUGCGGAAUUCCAGGUGUAGCGGUGAAAUGCGUAGAUAUCUGGAGGAACACCGGUGGCGAAGGCGGCAUCCUGGACCAACACUGACACUGAGGAGCGAAAGCCAGGGGAGCAAACGGG